UGGCAAUGAUUAUUAUCUUUCCCGUGUUUCUGAUUUAACUCCUGAAGUAUAAGGGAAAACAUGGUUGAAUUUCUUAAAGCCA
Triticum urartu is the source of this 82-nucleotide non-coding RNA. The record is from Rfam. NCBI's taxonomy places the organism in Eukaryota, Viridiplantae, Streptophyta, Magnoliopsida, Poales, Poaceae.